GAAAUGCGAUAAGUAAUGUGAAUUGCAGAAUUCAGUGAAUCAUCGAAUCUUUGAAAGCACCUUGCGCUCCUUGGUAUUCCUUGGAGCAUGCCUGUUUGAGUAUCAUGAAAUCUUCAAAGUAAAUCUUUUGUUAACUCAAUUGGUUUCUACUUUGGUAUUGGAGGUCUUUGCAGCUUCACACCUGCUCCUCUUUGUUCAUUAGCUGGAUCUCAGUGUUAUGCUUGGUUCCACUCGGCGUGAUAAGUUAUCUAUCGCUGAGGACACUGUAAAAGGUGGCCAAGGUAAAUGCAGAUGAACCGCUUCUAAUAGUCCAUUGACUUGGACAAUACUUUUAUGAUCUGAUCUCAAAUCAGGUAGGACUACCCGCUGAACUUGAGC
This 378-nucleotide unclassified non-coding RNA is filed under the name plant metagenome. RNAcentral's name for it is "partial contains 5.8S ribosomal RNA, internal transcribed spacer 2, and large subunit ribosomal RNA". The stretch from base 1 to 105 matches the Rfam family "5.8S ribosomal RNA", at positions 50 to 154 of the family's 154-position model. The record is from RNAcentral.